ACUCCUACGGGAGGCAGCAGUGGGAAUAUUGCACAAUGGGCGAAAGCCUGAUGCAGCGACGCCGCGUGAGGGAUGACGGCCUUCGGGUUGUAAACCUCUUUCAGUCAGGAACAAGCCACUUGUGGUGAGGGUACUGGCAGAAGAAGCACCGGCUAACUACGUGCCAGCAGCCGCGGUAAUACGUAGGGUGCGAGCGUUAUCCGGAAUUAUUGGCGUAAAGAGCUUGUAGGCGGUUUGUCGCGUCUGCUGUGAAAGCCCGGGGCUUAACUCCGGGUCUGCAGUGGGUACGGGCAGGCUAGAGUGAUGUAGGGGUAACUGGAAUUCCUGGUGUAGCGGUGGAAUGCGCAGAUAUCAGGAAGAACACCGAUGGCGAAGGCAGGUUACUGGGCAUUUACUGACGCUGAGAAGCGAAAGCAUGGGGAGCGAACAGGAUUAGAUACCCUGGUAGGCUCUGC
RNAcentral lists this ribosomal RNA (455 nucleotides) under uncultured bacterium. RNAcentral describes it as "bacterial SSU rRNA". It matches the Rfam family "Bacterial small subunit ribosomal RNA", at positions 335 to 800 of the family's 1533-position model. The record is from RNAcentral.